UAUCCAGCACUUUGAAGGCGUCACGCAACUGGCGAUCGAAGGGCUCGGGUUUCAUGUGCUUGGCCAUCAGGUCAAGGAACCGCGGGAAGUCAAAGGGUGCCGUUAGUUUUUCCUCGGAGAUUAUGGAUUUGAGCUGGGCCUGGGUCGGGUUUCCCCCGAGUGACCUCAUUAGGAUCCCUAGCUCAGACGGCGCGAUCUUUCCGUCACCGUCAGUGUCGAACAAUGUGAAGGCUUCCUUCAUUGACGAGACCUGGUCGUCGCUCAGAUCCUUUCCCAUUUCCUUUCUCUUUUUUCCUUUUUAUUUAUUUAUUUAUUUUUUCGGAUUUUCACUUCUCUCUCUCUCUCUCUGCGUGUGAGUUCCGAGGGAAUGAGAGAAAUG
Molecule: long non-coding RNA, 379 nt
Filed under: Citrus sinensis (sweet orange)
Lineage: Eukaryota; Viridiplantae; Streptophyta; Magnoliopsida; Sapindales; Rutaceae
Description: long non-coding RNA (CSIN_LNC001960)
Source: RNAcentral